GAUGAACGCUGGCGGCGUGCUUAACACGUGCAAGUCGAACGAGGGCGAUAGCAAUAUUGCCCGAGUGGCGGACGGGUGAGUAACGCGUGAACAAUCUGCCUGUAUCAGGGGAAUAACACUAAGAAAUUGGUGCUAAUACCGCAUAAGACCACGGAGAGGCAUCUCCCCGGGGUAAAAGAAAUAUCGGAUACAGAUGAGUUCGCGUCCCAUUAGGUAGUUGGUGAGGUAACGGCCCACCAAGCCGACGAUGGGUAGCCGACCUGAGAGGGUGAUCGGCCACAUUGGAACUGAGAUACGGUCCAGACUCCUACGGGAGGCAGCAGUGGGGAAUAUUGGGCAAUGGAGGGAACUCUGACCCAGCAACGCCGCGUGAGUGAAGAAGGUUUUCGGAUUGUAAAACUC
Molecule: ribosomal RNA, 402 nt
Filed under: uncultured bacterium
Lineage: Bacteria
Description: bacterial SSU rRNA
Rfam family: Bacterial small subunit ribosomal RNA
Source: RNAcentral